UUGAUACGCAUCACCCGUGGUUCUCGCCCGGCGGUGCCGGACGAGAUAAUAGGGAACACGGUGCACCGCGUCCGCGCGGUUAUUCCGAGGCUGCCCCCGCAACUGUAAGCGGCGAAUCUCGCCGACGAACACCACUGGCCCGCAACGGCUGGGAAGGUUCGGCGAGAUGAUGACCCGUGAGCCAGGAGACCUGCCACACCCGUUCGCACCUG
RNAcentral lists this non-coding RNA (212 nucleotides) under Rhodopseudomonas palustris. The record is from RNAcentral. Lineage: Bacteria; Pseudomonadati; Pseudomonadota; Alphaproteobacteria; Hyphomicrobiales; Nitrobacteraceae.